Molecule: non-coding RNA, 1019 nt
Organism: Physcomitrium patens
Lineage: Eukaryota; Viridiplantae; Streptophyta; Bryopsida; Funariales; Funariaceae
Source: RefSeq, a predicted model, not a curated record
AUACCACAUCAUCGAAGGCGUGAAUGCUGGUGGAAGCACACAUCCGAAGGAGGGAGGGGGAUUAACAGCACAGCAAUGAGAGAGUGAGUGAGGAAAGUCGAGGUGACGACUUUGUUGGGUUGAGUGGAAAUGCAUCAAUGCCAUCAUCUAUAAUCGGUCUAGCUGCGUCUCCUCAUCUGGUCUUGCGGCCUUGACAGCUUACAAUAUGCCCCUCGUCCCUACCCCUACCCCUAACCCUCCCUCCCUCUCUAGCCCUAACUCUGCUCUUCCCUGCACUGCCGUGCCGUCCUCCUCCCCCUCCGCUCAUUUCCUCCUUCUUUAUUGCUCUCGUGACUCUCGCCACCCCUUCGCUUUCCCGAUGCCUGUAAUCUUACGAACGCAUCACUGCCAUCUCCACCCAAACGUCAUUUGCACUGCAACUUGCCCCUUCCCUCGCCUCUCGUUUCCCUGCCUGCCUGCGUCCCAGAUCAUAACAAUUUGUCACUAUCACGGCGUCCGGUUUUACGGAAGUUCCAGGAGUACGCAAGUGGAACUGAUGUGGGUGCGAAUUUUUUAUUCGGGAGCUUGUUUAUGAGCAGAUUUCCUCCUCCACUAGUGCAUGUGCGGUAUCCUUUAAGCUUAUCGUUCACACCAGCGUCGACUGCUCCGUCUGUGGACACACUUUCUUAUGAGGUGAAUGUUGUGGGCAGUCGCAUGUUUCAAAUGCUUGUGCAGAUGUAUGAGAUCAUAGUAAAAUGUGCCGAAGGUACUUGUACAAAACGCAGGAUCUGCAUCUGAUUUGGAAUGGGUACGCCAAUUCAUUAGGUGGACAUGAUGGACGUUAUCGUAGUGAAUUAUAGGUUCUCUUCUUUGAGCACCUGGGUAUUGCUAGAAAGAUACAUGUGUUGUGUAGGAUAGAAGAUGAUAUGCUUGCUCUAGCAAUGUAGAGAGGAGAGUGUAGAAUAGUCAAGAAAGUAAAUGUAAUGUACAAUUGUGAGUGUAGAAUAGUCAAGAAAGUAAAUCUAAUGUACUUUUGUGAA